GAUUAAGAUUUUGUAUUGCUCAAUUUAAGUUCAAUAAGUAACAUAGAUCACAAAGUUUGCUAAUUUAUAUUGAUGCUUUAAGACUCCUUACAUGACGUUUCCGCAACACACCCGAGGUCAAAGUUCGUAUAUAUUAAAAUGCAACAAUGUGUAUAGUUCGUUAUUGAGGAUAAUGUAUAGAUUAUUUUACAUAGGGAAAGAUAUUUAUACGCUAUAGUUAAUUGUAACUGUUUAAUUUCAACUUAUGUUUACAUUAAAUGACAUCCUUAAGCCAACUUUACUAAUAUUGAUCGCUAUUUUCGUGUUAUACAUCUAUAAUCAUCUUGUUGUUAAAGAUUUGAAGCUUUGCUGCGAUAAUACAGCAGAGAAUUAUUCUCAUUAUGAUUUGGUCGUUGGAAUACUUUCAUCGCGCGGCAACUUUGAUUUGAGGCAAAGUUUACGUGAAUCAUGGGUUGGCUAUGCAAGACGACAUUCAUCUCUAAAUAAAAGAGUGUUGGUGAAGUUCAUCGUUUCAAAUAAUGCAUGUUACGUUCCUCCAGAGUUCAGGAUUGAUCCUUACAAAUGCGAAAGAAAGAAAAUCGAAUCUCCAAACUACGAAAAUGAAGUAAUUGCUUACAAACGACCAAAUGAAGAAAAUUUGAGAUAUUUUCACAGUGGAUCUAUCGGAUGGGACUUUGAUAUCAUCCGUCCCAUUAUUUUGACUCGUCUUGGCAUCUCUUUAUCAUCGUUGAAUUCAAAAAGAAACUCUUCUGUUCGACUCUACGACAGAACAACUAAGAGCGAAAUUAUAUCUGUUUAUUUCUCUUUCCAAGACCCUGGUACAACAGAAAACGGUUCGUCGUUUAAAGCAAUUGAAAACUUUAUUUUGCCAAAGGACUUCAAGGGCAGCGUCGUGUCUGAAAACGUAAAAUGUUCAAGUUCUCGAUGCAGAAAAUGCGAGUAUUUUGCCAACAUUGAAAACGGAGAGGAUUAUUUCAAUGUACACAAGAUAAGACGGAUUAACAACGAGUUCGCCGUCUUUCCCGAAGUCGAGGAAUCAAUUCCUGAUGCUAGAUGCGUGGAUGGGGCUGGAACGUUCAUGUAUCGACUUUACAAUUCUCCGGGGAAGAGAGUCGUGACAAAAGAGGAAGAAGAAACUCGAAUGUCGGAGUGGCAGCGAUUGAAAGACGAUGAGAAUGAACGUUUACUUAAAGAAAGCAGAACUAUUUCUGAUAUUCUUUUUGUUUCAAAUGUCGAUGUUUACAGAAAUCUUCCAUCCCAGUUGCUUCAGUUUUUCUCGUGGCUCUCGGCGACUUUAAGUUUUUCCUUUGUAAUGAAAACUGACGAUGAUUGUUUUGUUAACCUGGAGACCAUCUUACAGCUUUCGUACUGAUUGGUUGAUCGAGAGACAGGGAAAAUGGGCCGAGCCUGAUUAUCCGGGAGUGGCUUAUCCGACAUUUGCCUGCGGUGCGGGCAGCAUUAUAUCUUCGGAUAUUGUUCACUGGCUGGCAAAAAAACGAGAAAUCUCUAAAACGUUAUCAGGGGGAGGAUGUCUCUAUGGGUAUUUGGUUAUCAGCUAUUGCUCCUGAAAUUUAUAAGGAUGAGCGAUGGUCGUGUUUCGGGGAUUGUCAGAUGGAAAUGUUUACCUUGCCCGAGCAGGAUGCCGAUUCUCUUCUCUAUUUAUGGGAAAACUUUAUGUCCUGCGGUAAUCCUUGCAAAUGUUGAGGAGUUAAUCUUUAUGUGGAAACAUCUUCGUGGUAGUCAAGUUGUACCACAGUUCAUUGUCAAAUCUCAUCUUUCCUGAAACAGGAUCCAUAAAUAUUCUCUUCAGUAGAACACACGGCCAUAUUCCUCCAAGAAUCUUUUCAAUAUCACGAGGAUUCAACAGAAACGUUUGACAUGACCGUUAAAGUUUCUUCAUCGGAAACGCUACUACCGUUUGGUAGGGCGAUAAAACGAUCAGCGUUUUUAAUAUCUUCUAUUAAACUUCCACCUCUUUC
This is an RNA transcript of Xenia sp. Carnegie-2017, 1979 nucleotides long. It is a transcript of the gene named UDP-GalNAc:beta-1,3-N-acetylgalactosaminyltransferase 2-like, with no coding region annotated. Lineage: Eukaryota; Metazoa; Cnidaria; Anthozoa; Malacalcyonacea; Xeniidae. The record is from RefSeq and is a predicted model, not a curated record. The transcript has 14 exons.